RNAcentral lists this ribosomal RNA (429 nucleotides) under Chloroflexota bacterium. RNAcentral's name for it is "Chloroflexi bacterium partial 16S ribosomal RNA". It matches the Rfam family "Bacterial small subunit ribosomal RNA", at positions 355 to 776 of the family's 1533-position model. Lineage: Bacteria; Bacillati; Chloroflexota. The record is from RNAcentral.
UGGGGAAUAUUGCACAAUGGGCGCAAGCCUGAUGCAGCCAUGCCGCGUGUAUGAAGAAGGCCUUCGGGUUGUAAAGUACUUUCAGUCGGGAGGAAGGUGUCAAGGUUAAUAACCUUGGCAAUUGACGUUACCGACAGAAGAAGCACCGGCUAACUCCGUGCCAGCAGCCGCGGUAAUACGGAGGGUGCAAGCGUUAAUCGGAAUUACUGGGCGUAAAGCGCACGCAGGCGGUUGAUUGAGUCAGAUGUGAAAUCCCCGGGCUUAACCCGGGAAUUGCAUCUGAUACUGGUCAGCUAGAGUCUUGUAGAGGGGGGUAGAAUUCCAUGUGUAGCGGUGAAAGGCGUAGAGAUCUGGAGGAAUACCGGUGGCGAAGGCGGCCCCCUGGACAAAGACUGACGCUCAGGUGCGAAAGCGUGGGGAGCAAACAGG